Molecule: ribosomal RNA, 385 nt
Filed under: marine copepod environmental sample
Lineage: Eukaryota; Metazoa; Arthropoda; Copepoda
Description: partial small subunit ribosomal RNA
Rfam family: Eukaryotic small subunit ribosomal RNA
Source: RNAcentral
AGCUCCAAUAGCGUAUAUUAAAGUUGUUGCGGUUAAAAAGCUCGUAGUUGGAUCUCGGCAGCCAGGGGGCGGUUCGCUCCAAAGCGUGACUGCCCCAUUUGGCUGUGUGAUUGGCGGAGGUUCCGGGGUGCUCUUCGUUGAGUGUCCCGGUGCGCCGUCAGGUUUACUUUGAAAAAAUUAGAGUGCUCAAAGCAGGCUUUUCAGGCUUGAAUAUUCGUGCAUGGAAUAAUGGGAUAGGGACUCGGUCCUAAUUUUUUUGGUUUCGGGAAACCAGGUAAAUGUUAAAUGGGACCAUUGGGGGCAUUAGUAUUCAAACGACAGAGGUGAAAUUCUUGGACCGUUUGAAGACUAACUACUGCGAAAGCAUUUGCCAAGAGUGUUUUCA